This 394-nucleotide ribosomal RNA is filed under the name uncultured bacterium. RNAcentral describes it as "bacterial SSU rRNA". It matches the Rfam family "Bacterial small subunit ribosomal RNA", at positions 28 to 409 of the family's 1533-position model. The record is from RNAcentral.
GACGAACGCUGGCGGCGUGCCUAAUACAUGCAAGUCGAGCGGAGUUCAUCGGGAGCUUGCUUCGGAUGAACUUAGCGGCGGACGGGUGAGUAACACGUAGGCAACCUGCCCGUAAGACUGGGAUAACUACCGGAAACGGUAGCUAAUACCGGAUACGCAAGCUUCUCGCAUGAGGGGCUUGGGAAAGGCGGAGCAAUCUGUCACUUACGGAUGGGCCUGCGGCGCAUAGCUAGUAGGUAGGGUAACGGCCUACCUAGGCGACGAUGCGUAGCCGACCUGAGAGGGUGAACGGCCACACUGGGACUGAGACACGGCCCAGACUCCUACGGGAGGCAGCAGUAGGGAAUCUUCCGCAAUGGACGAAAGUCUGACGGAGCAACGCCGCGUGAGUGAU